CAGCCGCCGCGGGAAUACGUAGGGUGCAAGCGUUAAUCGGAAUUACUGGGCGUAAAGCGUGCGCAGGCGGUUAUAUAAGACAGAUGUGAAAUCCCCGGGCUCAACCUGGGAACUGCAUUUGUGACUGUAUAGCUAGAGUACGGCAGAGGGGGAUGGAAUUCCGCGUGUAGCAGUGAAAUGCGUAGAUAUGCGGAGGAACACCGAUGGCGAAGGCAAUCCCCUGGGCCUGUACUGACGCUCAUGCACGAAAGCGUGGGGAGCAAACAGGAUUAGAGACCCCCGUAGUCCCUGUCUCUUAUCC
This 301-nucleotide ribosomal RNA is filed under the name uncultured bacterium. RNAcentral's name for it is "partial 16S ribosomal RNA". It matches the Rfam family "Bacterial small subunit ribosomal RNA", at positions 509 to 809 of the family's 1533-position model. The record is from RNAcentral.